Molecule: ribosomal RNA, 423 nt
Filed under: uncultured bacterium
Lineage: Bacteria
Description: bacterial SSU rRNA
Rfam family: Bacterial small subunit ribosomal RNA
Source: RNAcentral
UAAGGAAUAUUGGUCAAUGGACGCAAGUCUGAACCAGCCAUGCCGCGUGGAGGAUGAAGGUCCUCUGGAUUGUAAACUUCUUUUAUUUGGGAAGAAACCCACGAUUUCUAUUGUGGUUGACGGUACCAGAUGAAUAAGCACCGGCUAACUCCGUGCCAGCAGCCGCGGUAAUACGGAGGGUGCAAGCGUUAUCCGGAUUCACUGGGUUUAAAGGGUGCGUAGGUGGAUCGGUAAGUCCGUGGUGAAAUCCCUGAGCUUAACUCAGGAACUGCCGUGGAUACUAUCGAUCUUGAAUGCCGUGGAGGUAAGCGGAAUAUGUCAUGUAGCGGUGAAAUGCUUAGAUAUGACAUAGAACACCAAUAGCGAAGGCAGCUUGCUACACGGUAAUUGACACUCAGGCACGAAAGCGUGGGGAGCAAACAG